This 308-nucleotide unclassified non-coding RNA is filed under the name plant metagenome. Its description in RNAcentral is "partial contains 5.8S ribosomal RNA, internal transcribed spacer 2, and large subunit ribosomal RNA". The stretch from base 1 to 105 matches the Rfam family "5.8S ribosomal RNA", at positions 50 to 154 of the family's 154-position model. The record is from RNAcentral.
GAAAUGCGAUAAGUAGUGUGAAUUGCAGAAUUCAGUGAAUCAUCGAAUCUUUGAACGCACAUUGAGCCCUUUGGUAUUCCAAAGGGCAUGCCUGUUCGAGCGUCAUUUGUACCCUCAAGCUUUGCUUGGUGUUGGGCGUCUUGUCUCUAGCUUUGCUGGAGACUCGCCUUAAAGUAAUUGGCAGCCGGCCUACUGGUUUCGGAGCGCAGCACAAGUCGCACUCUCUAUCAGCAAAGGUCUAGCAUCCAUUAAGCCUUUUUUUCAACUUUUGACCUCGGAUCAGGUAGGGAUACCCGCUGAACUUAAGC